This 430-nucleotide ribosomal RNA is filed under the name uncultured bacterium. Its description in RNAcentral is "bacterial SSU rRNA". It matches the Rfam family "Bacterial small subunit ribosomal RNA", at positions 355 to 776 of the family's 1533-position model. The record is from RNAcentral.
UAGGGAAUAUUGCACAAUGGAGGAAACUCUGAUGCAGCAACGCCGCGUGAGUGAAGAAGGCCCUUGGGUCGUAAAGCUCUUUAGCGAGGGAAGAAGCUGUGUACGGUGAAUAAUCGUGCAUGGUGACGGUACCUCGAGAAUAAGCACCGGCUAAUUUCGUGCCAGCAGCCGCGGUAAUACGAAAGGUGCAAGCGUUACUCGGAAUCACUGGGCGUAAAGCGCACGUAGGCGGACUCGUAGGUCAGUUGUGAAAUACCUGAGCUCAACUCAGGAAUUGCAGCUGAAACCGCUUGUCUUGAAUACCUGAGAGGGUGGGGGAAUACCUGGUGGAGAAGUGAAAUUCGUAGAGAUCAGGUGGAACACCGGAGGCGAAGGCGCCUGCCUGGCAGUGUAUUGACGCUGAGGUGCGAAAGUGCGGGGAGCAAACAGG